Molecule: ribosomal RNA, 465 nt
Filed under: uncultured bacterium
Lineage: Bacteria
Description: partial 16S ribosomal RNA
Rfam family: Bacterial small subunit ribosomal RNA
Source: RNAcentral
GACGAACGCUGGCGGCGUGCUUAACACAUGCAAGUCGAACGGAAAGGCCCUGCUUGCUGGGUACUCGAGUGGCGAACGGGUGAGUAACACGUGGGUGAUCUGCCCUGCACUUCGGGAUAAGCCUGGGAAACUGGGUCUAAUACCGGAUAGGAGCCAUUUUUUGUGUGAUGGUUGGAAAGUUUUUUGGGUGUAGGAUGAGCUCGCGGCCUAUCAGCUUGUUGGUGGGGUAAUGGCCUACCAAGGCGGCGACGGGUAGCCGGCCUGUGAGGGUGGACGGCCACACUGGGACUGAGAGACGGCCCAGACUCCGACGGGAGGCAGAAGUGGGGAAUAUUGCACCAUGGGUGCAAGCCUGAUGCAGCGACGCCGCGUGGGGGAUGACGGCCUUCGGGUUGUAAACUCCUUUCGCUAGGGACGAAGCUUUUUGUGACGGUACCUAGAGAAGAAGCACCGGCUAACUACGUG